UCCGAGACUAGAGUCACAUCUUUACACUUGUGAUUGUUCUGGUGUGCUAUCAUUCUCGGACAUUAAACUUCUGAUCCACAUUCACUGGCUGUGAUGCUUCGUAUCUCAGUCAGCCACCAAAUCAGUGACACUA
Molecule: small nucleolar RNA, 133 nt
Organism: Anser brachyrhynchus (Pink-footed goose)
Lineage: Eukaryota; Metazoa; Chordata; Aves; Anseriformes; Anatidae
Source: Ensembl